Pelobates cultripes (western spadefoot toad) is the source of this 203-nucleotide non-coding RNA. The record is from the annotation of a GenBank genome assembly. NCBI's taxonomy places the organism in Eukaryota, Metazoa, Chordata, Amphibia, Anura, Pelobatidae.
CCUGUGUGCUGCUUGGGCUAAUGAGAAAACAUUGAGCAGCAUUGGCUGCUCAGCUGAUCACAUUCAGUCUAUCACAGUGUCCAUUGCUGAUAUGUAUAAGCAAAAAGAAAGACUAAUCUCCGCAUUAGCCUUACCUCUAGUAGGGGCAAGAGUGAGAGUGGCCAAAGACCUUUAUUUAGUGUUAAAUGACUUGAAAAUGGUUU